UACGUAGGGGGCAAGCGUUGCUCGGAAUUAUUGGGCGUAAAGGGUGCGUAGGCGGUUGGGUAAGUCUGACGUGAAAUCUUCAAGCUCAACUUGGAAACUGCGUCGGAUACUAUUCGGCUGGAGGAAUGGAGGGGAGACUGGAAUACUUGGUGUAGCAGUGAGAUGCGUAGAUAUCAAGUGGAACACCAGUGGCGAAGGCGAGUCUCUGGACAUUUCCUGACGCUGAGGCACGAAAGCCAGGGGAGCAAACGGG
This 253-nucleotide ribosomal RNA is filed under the name uncultured bacterium. RNAcentral's name for it is "partial 16S ribosomal RNA". It matches the Rfam family "Bacterial small subunit ribosomal RNA", at positions 524 to 776 of the family's 1533-position model. The record is from RNAcentral.